UAUAAGACUGGGAUAACUUCGGGAAACCGGGGCUAAUGCCGGAUAAUAUUUAGAACCGCAUGGUUCUAAAGUGAAAGAUGGUUUUACUAUCGCUUAUAGAUGGGCCCGCGCCGUAUUAGCUAGUUGGUGGGGUAAUGGCUUACCAAGGCAACGAUACGUAGCCGACCUGAGAGGGUGAUCGGCCACACUGGAACUGAGACACGGUCCAGACUCCUACGGGAGGCAGCAGUAGGGAAUCUUCCGCAAUGGGCGAAAGCCUGACGGAGCAACGCCGCGUGAGUGAUGAAGGUCUUCGGAUCGUAAAACUCUGUUAUUAGGGAAGAACAAAUGUGUAAGUAACUGUGCACGUCUUGACGGUACCUAAUCAGAAAGCCACGGCUAACUACGUGCCAGCAGCCGCGGUAAUACGUAGGUGGCAAGCGUUAUCCGGAAUUAUUGGGCGUAAAGCGCGCGUAGGCGGUUUCUUAAGUCUGAUGUGAAAGCCCACGGCUCAACCGUGGAGGGUCACUGGAAACUGGGAAACUUGAGUGCAGAAGAGGAAAGUGGAAUUCCAUGUGUAGCGGUGAAAUGCGCAGAGAUAUGGAGGAACACCAGUGGCGAAGGCGACUUUCUGGUCUGUAACUGACGCUGAUGUGCGAAAGCGUGGGGAUCAAACAGGAUUAGAUACCCUGGUAGUCCACGCCGUAAACGAUGAGUGCUAAGUGUUAGGGGGUUUCCGCCCCUUAGUGCUGCAGCUAACGCAUUAAGCACUCCGCCUGGGGAGUACGACCGCAAGGUUGAAACUCAAAG
Molecule: ribosomal RNA, 789 nt
Filed under: uncultured Staphylococcus sp.
Lineage: Bacteria; Bacillati; Bacillota; Bacilli; Caryophanales; Staphylococcaceae
Description: bacterial SSU rRNA
Rfam family: Bacterial small subunit ribosomal RNA
Source: RNAcentral